RNAcentral lists this ribosomal RNA (703 nucleotides) under uncultured bacterium. Its description in RNAcentral is "bacterial SSU rRNA". It matches the Rfam family "Bacterial small subunit ribosomal RNA", at positions 15 to 677 of the family's 1533-position model. The record is from RNAcentral.
GAUCCUGGCUCAGGACGAACGCUGGCGGCGUGCCUAACACAUGCAAGUUGUACGAGAAGUUCACCUUCGAUUCCUUCGGGAUGAAAAGGUGAGCGGAGAGUAGCGAACGGGUGAGUAACGCGUGGGUAAUCUACCCUGUAAGUGGGGAAUAACCCUUCGAAAGGAGGGCUAAUACCGCAUAAUAUCUCCUCUUCACAAGAUAAGGAGAUUAAAGAUGGCCUCUUCUAUGCUAUCGCUUCAGGAUGAGCCCGCGUCCCAUUAGUUUGUUGGUAAGGUAACGGCUUACCAAGACUACAAUGGGUAGCCGGUCUGAGAGGAUGUACGGCCACACUGGGACUGAGAUACGGCCCAGACUCCUACGGGAGGCAGCAGUGGGGAAUAUUGCGCAAUGGGGGAAACCCUGACGCAGCGACGCCGCGUGGAUGAUGAAGGCCUUCGGGUUGUAAAAUCCUGUUUUGGGGGACGAAACCUUAAGGGUUUAAUAAACCCUUAAAUUGACGGUACCCCAAGAGAAAGCUCCGGCUAAUUAUGUGCCAGCAGCCGCGGUAAUACAUAAGGAGCAAGCGUUGUCCGGAAUUAUUGGGCGUAAAGGGCUCGUAGGCGGUCUUAAAAGUCAGAUGUUAAAUUACCAGGCUCAACCUGGUACUCCCAUCUGAAACUUUAAGACUUGAGGUUAGAAGAGGAAAGUANAAUUCCCGGUGUA